UGGCACAGGGGUUCCACCCGUUCCCAUCCCGAACACGGCCGUUAAGCCCUGUAGCGCCGAUGGUACUGCAUUGCGGUAGAGUAGGUCGCCGCCUCCU
Molecule: ribosomal RNA, 97 nt
Filed under: Balneola sp.
Lineage: Bacteria; Pseudomonadati; Balneolota; Balneolia; Balneolales; Balneolaceae
Source: RNAcentral